Molecule: ribosomal RNA, 468 nt
Filed under: uncultured bacterium
Lineage: Bacteria
Description: partial 16S ribosomal RNA
Rfam family: Bacterial small subunit ribosomal RNA
Source: RNAcentral
GACGAACGCUGGCGGCGUGCUUAACACAUGCAAGUCGAACGGAAAGGCCCUGCUUUUGUGGUGUGCUCGAGUGGCGAACGGGUGAGUAACACGUGAGUAACCUGCCCUUGACUUUGGGAUAACUUCAGGAAACUGGGGCUAAUACCGGAUAGGAGCUCCUGCUGCAUGGUGGGGGUUGGAAAGUUUCGGCGGUUGGGGAUGGACUCGCGGCUUAUCAGCUUGUUGGUGGGGUAGUGGCUUACCAAGGCUUUGACGGGUAGCCGGCCUGAGAGGGUGACCGGCGUCAUUGGGACUAAGAGACGGCGCAGACUGCUACAGGAGGCAGCGGUGGGGAAUAUUACACAGUGAGCGGGAGCCUGAUACAGCGACGCCGCGUGCGGGAUGACGGCCUGCGGGUUGUGAACCGCUUUAGCCUGUGACGAAGCGUGAGUGACGGUAAUGGGUAAAGAAGCACCGGCUAACUACGUG